Molecule: non-coding RNA, 179 nt
Organism: Cupriavidus sp.
Lineage: Bacteria; Pseudomonadati; Pseudomonadota; Betaproteobacteria; Burkholderiales; Burkholderiaceae
Source: Rfam
GUGACGAUGACCGAGCGUGGGGAGAGAGCGCGGAGCGAAACUGCGGGCCGAGGGACGCGAACCGGAUAGAAGGCGGUGCCGACCAGGACGAGCGGGCACGAAACCGCAACCGCGAAGUUCUCGUGAUCAACGGGCGGUGGCGUAAAUCUGGCGGUUUUGUGCAGCGAAAGAGUGAGUUC